GGACCCAUGGCUCAAGUGGUAGAGCGCUUGCCUAGCAUGUGAGAGGCCCUGGGUUCAAUUCCCAGUACCACUA
This 73-nucleotide transfer RNA is filed under the name Dipodomys ordii (Ord's kangaroo rat). It matches the Rfam family "tRNA". Rfam says of the family: Transfer RNA (tRNA) molecules are approximately 80 nucleotides in length. Their secondary structure includes four short double-helical elements and three loops (D, anti-codon, and T loops). Lineage: Eukaryota; Metazoa; Chordata; Mammalia; Rodentia; Heteromyidae. The record is from Rfam by way of RNAcentral.